Molecule: long non-coding RNA, 2290 nt
Organism: Crotalus tigris (Tiger rattlesnake)
Lineage: Eukaryota; Metazoa; Chordata; Lepidosauria; Squamata; Viperidae
Exons: 6
Source: RefSeq, a predicted model, not a curated record
CUGACACACACUGAUUCUUUUGUGAAAGGGGUGUGGGGGGGAGUGAAACAACUUGGAAUCCAGCAGUUGAAGCAGCUUCCAAGCAAAGAAAAUUCAAUGGGAAAGCCAGCAGGAAGUCAUUCCCAUUCCCACCACUCUAUGUGUGGUCACUUUAUUUAUCUGUUUAGAUCUGGAGAGACUGAAGCCCCGUGAAUAUACGUGGCCUUCAAAAUGCUCAUGCCAUCCAGAAAUUGUCAAAAGUUUCUACCAAAUUUAGCUGUUGCACCUUAUUUUUGGAUUCUCAAGAAAGAGGAGAAAAUGACUUCUUCUUACUUGACAAUGUAACUGAGAAAUGGGAAGGCAUUUUCAAGCCAGCCAUGCCAGAGACGUGUACCUGCAAAACAGCAGCAGCCCCAGGAGAGCAGUCAGAAAAGCUCUAUUUUUCAGACCUGAUUUUUAUGGGUAUCUGCUGUGUUUUGCUUAUAUUUGAAGACAUGACCUCCUGCAUCUAUGCACCAACAUUAUUCAAUUUUUCUGGCUGCUGAGUUUGUGACAGUUCCCACUGAAUACCAUUUUACUUGAAAAGGAAGGAUCACUGAUUGACCAACCACACCUAUAGCCAUUUGAUGUUCCAGGAUUCCAUUGAUGGACCUGCCAAGAGACUCUUCUGCAAGCUGUUGUGAUCCAUAGUGAUAGCUUUAUGCAAAGUGUUAGUAUUUUGGCUUCCUUAUGUUUCCGCAUCCACUGGAGAACCAGCCAGAAAGGCUGAUGAAAUUACCAAUUUCUUUUUAAAUAAGUAUCAGCUUCUUGAAUACAAGGAAUUGAGAUGAAGUAUAUCAAAUCAGGAUCAAAUCAAGAUGGAAUAUAACUAGCCAUUUCCAUAGGAGGGAAGAAUCUGUUGAAUUAAGGCUGAAACUUGACAAAAUACAGAAUUUGCUGUUCUUGCAAACUGGCCUAAUAGUUGUUUGUUCCAAUGUAGUUGGCAAGCCUAUCCUUGUACAGAAAGUGUGGGAGUGGAUCUUAACUUGAAGAGAUGAGAGUGAAUAGUUUGGCCUUAUUUUAAAAUUCCAAAGUCCUGAGUGUGCAGUGUACUAAAGCUUUUAAUUUGGGACAAAGCUGAACAAAGAGGGCACAGAGGGGUAGAUAUCCUCACCUAUUGUAACAAAAAAUAACAGUAACCAGCCUUAAUGCCAUUAGCUUCAAUGCAUUAGAAUUCACAAACAUUUAUACUGUAAUAUAUUUGCUUGUCCAUAACAUACAGUUAGAUAUAUUGCUGUUGUUUCAUAUGAAAAUUUUCAUAGUGAAACACAGAUCUCUUUCUGGGCUGUCUACUAUAACAACACAUAUUAUAUAAGCAGAUCAGUGGUUUUUCCAUUCAACUUUACAUUUCUAGACUACUCAAUGAAUGAUACAACUAGAAUGGGACAUUAGUUGCAUCACUCUAAGACAAGAUCUUAAAAUUAUAACAGGGGCACUAGAGGGUUGUUAAAAACUGUGCCCUUUUCCAGGGCAGCAUCUUCCACAGAUUGCAUAGAAGCUAGAAAUGAUUGUCCAUCAAGUUCAGAAAAGUUAGGUAACAUGGGAUAGAAUUGAUGCUGCAGAUUAAAUAUGAGUGGUCUAUUGUCUCCCUAAGCCUAGCUUGCAAAGGAAAGUUUUCUUAUUAGUAUCAUAAAUGGCUUUUUCUUUCCCCAUCAUUAGCUCUGAACUGAGGAGGAGAAAGUAUGCCUGAGGGGGGGAAAUAGUUUACAUUAAAAAGGACCUCUCACCAAUAAAAGGUCCCUUUCUGUUUACUCUAGGAUGCUGUUGGUUUCCUUUGCAAAUGCUUUUUGAAAAGUGCAGCAGUGAGAAAGCAAAAAUUAAUGUACUUGAAUCAGUACAGGAAAGCAAAGACCAAUUGUGAUUAUAAAGAUAAAGGAGAAGUCAAUUAGGGAGGGGUAAAGGAAAGAUUUUGCAGAUAGAGAUGCGUGUUAUUAGCAUUAGGAAGAUAAGCUUAAUUGCAAAAUGAAGCGCCACUGUGUUCUCACACCCACAACAGAUGAGACAUACAGUAUGUAUUGACUUAACUUAGGGCACAAUUAUAUUAAAGAGAAAUCUGGAAUAGUGCUUCUUCCUAUAAAGUCUAGGCUUAAGAAUUGCAAGGUGGUUAAAGCACCGCUUCAUCAGCAUCCUCCAUGCCAUAGGCCUCCCAUUUUUGAACUGCAAACUUUAAAAUACCUCACAAAUCCUAGCGUGGCCCUUGGGACAAUUGAAGAUGUGCACUCUUGUUACAAAUGUUUCUCUGUAUAUAUAAAACUAGCAUCUCUGAGGUUGC